This 301-nucleotide ribosomal RNA is filed under the name uncultured bacterium. RNAcentral's name for it is "partial 16S ribosomal RNA". It matches the Rfam family "Bacterial small subunit ribosomal RNA", at positions 509 to 807 of the family's 1533-position model. The record is from RNAcentral.
CAGCCGCCGCGGUAAUACAGAGGGUGCAAGCGUUAAUCGGGUUUACUGGGCGUAAAGGGCGCGUAGGUGGUUAUUUAAGUGAGAUGUGAAAGCCCCGGGCUUAACCUGGGAACUGCAUCUUAUACUGGGUAACUGGAGUGCAGUAGAGGGUAGUGGAAUUUCCGGUGUAGCGGUGAAAUGCGUAGAUAUCGGAAGGAACACCAGUGGCGAAGGCGGCUACCUGGACUGAGACUGACACUGAGGCGCGAGAGCGUGGGGAGCAAACAGGAUUAGAUACCCCAGUAGUCCCUGUCUCUUAUAC